This 55-nucleotide transfer RNA is filed under the name Tetragnatha nitens. Its description in RNAcentral is "tRNA-Phe". Lineage: Eukaryota; Metazoa; Arthropoda; Arachnida; Araneae; Tetragnathidae. The record is from RNAcentral.
AAUUUAUUAGCUUAACAAGAGCAAUUUAUUGAAGAUAAAUAGGUCUAAUAUUUUU